This 374-nucleotide ribosomal RNA is filed under the name uncultured organism. RNAcentral's name for it is "partial 16S ribosomal RNA". It matches the Rfam family "Bacterial small subunit ribosomal RNA", at positions 527 to 896 of the family's 1533-position model. The record is from RNAcentral.
GUAGGUGGCAAGCGUUGUCCGGAAUUAUUGGGCGUAAAGCGCGCGCAGGCGGUUCUUUAAGUCUGAUGUGAAAGCCCACGGCUCAACCGUGGAGGGUCAUUGGAAACUGGAGAACUUGAGUACAGAAGAGGAAAGCGGAAUUCCGCGUGUAGCGGUGAAAUGCGUAGAGAUGUGGAGGAACACCAGUGGCGAAGGCGGCUUUCUGGUCUGUAACUGACGCUGAGGCGCGAAAGCGUGGGGAGCAAACAGGGAUUAGAUACCCUGGUAGUCCACGCCGUAAACGAUGAGUGCUAAGUGUUAGGGGGGGUUCCGCCCCCUUAGUGCUGCAGCUAACGCAUUAAGCACUCCGCCUGGGGAGUACGGCCGCAAGGCUG